GAUCAUGGCUCGGGACGAACGCUGGCGGCGUGCUUAACACAUGCAAGUCGAACGAAGAGCGAUGGAAGCUUGCUUCUAUCAAUCUUAGUGGCGAACGGGUGAGUAACGCGUAAUCAACCUGCCCUUCAGAGGGGGACAACAGUUGGAAACGACUGCUAAUACCGCAUACGAUCUGACCUCGGCAUCGAGGAUAGAUGAAAGGUGGCCUCUACAUGUAAGCUAUC
This 224-nucleotide ribosomal RNA is filed under the name uncultured bacterium. Its description in RNAcentral is "partial 16S ribosomal RNA". It matches the Rfam family "Bacterial small subunit ribosomal RNA", at positions 15 to 216 of the family's 1533-position model. The record is from RNAcentral.